Suncus etruscus (white-toothed pygmy shrew) is the source of this 106-nucleotide small nuclear RNA. NCBI's taxonomy places the organism in Eukaryota, Metazoa, Chordata, Mammalia, Eulipotyphla, Soricidae. The record is from RefSeq and is a predicted model, not a curated record.
ACCCCUGAGCAACGCCGGGUAUGGCCCAAAAAACAAAACAAAACAGAGAUUAGCAUGGCCCCUGCGUAAGGAUGACUCUCAAAUUCGUGAAGCUUUCCAUAUUUUU